This is an RNA transcript of Salvelinus namaycush (lake trout), 3340 nucleotides long. It is a transcript of the gene named ribonuclease T2-like, with no coding region annotated. The transcript is spliced from 15 exons. The record is from RefSeq and is a predicted model, not a curated record. Lineage: Eukaryota; Metazoa; Chordata; Actinopteri; Salmoniformes; Salmonidae.
CAGAACCAUUGGUCUUACACGGUAAAGCAAGCUCACGUGAGAGAGGGAACGCCUACUUACAGAGACAGGAACCGUGAAAAAUGUUUACAAUGUUGUGUAUACGCCAGGUUACUGUAGCAGGGUUUUACAUCGAUCCACAAGAACAAAAGAACAAAACACAGGACCGACGCUGGAGUAGAGAAGCAGGUACGGGGGAGUCAAACAUUCAAUCGGAACAGACAUGGAACAAGACAGGACCAGCAUUAGCACAAGGACAUAUGACAAUCAAUGCUGAAUCGGGGAACAGACAUAUAGGGGAAGUAAUGACAGAGGUCCAGGAGUCCAGCGUAAACAUGAAAUCUUUGGCACUUGUUGUCCUGCUGUGCCUUGCCUGCGGUCUGAUGUCUUCCUCAUUCGUACUCGCGUCGCCGCAUAUGUGGAGUAAGUUGAUCCUAACUCAACACUGGCCAAGCACGUUUUGCAGUAUGGAACACUGUGAUCCUAAAUUUGACUACUGGACUUUGCAUGGACUGUGGCCAGAUAAAGGCCAGGAAUGCAAUUCAUCUUGGCACUUCAAUGUAACUCUAAUCCAGGACCUACUUCCAGAUAUGCAGAAGUGGUGGCCGGAUCUUAUAACUCCAGCAUCCUCUGAAUUCUGGCAAUAUGAAUGGCAAAAACAUGGAACGUGUGCUGCAAAAGCAGAGUCCCUAAACAGUCAACACAAAUACUUUGGCAAAGUCCUGGAGCUGUAUCACACAUUAGACCUUGAUGGAGUGAUGAAGAAAUUUAACAUUGUGCCCUCGGAGACUUACUAUACGUUUGACCACAUCGAAGGAAUCAUUCUCAACUUCUACAGUGUGAAACCAAAGAUUCAGUGUAUUCAUCCAAAGGGUGGGAAGGUGCAAAUCUUGGGCCAGAUCGAGAUCUGCUUCAACUCAGACUUCCAACUUGCCAACUACCUGGGCCUCAUGCAAGGCAUGGAAACAUACUGAAGAGCUUCAUCUGUUUGUGGCCGGUGGGCAACUGGGCCGAAAGGAAGUAAUUUCACCUUGAGUCAUCGCUGGUUCUCCCUGACCAGAGUGAGCGGUAAAAGUAAGGCUGAGUUCGUCUUCGCCUCGUUGACCGAAGACGAGGGUCCUUAUGAAGAGCUCCUGAAUACACCAGAGGAUAUUAUAAUAUAACAGUAUUUGUGUUUUAUAUGAGAGCUGAAAGAACAGGAGACGUACAUGAAGACCAGACAGAUACGGGCGGCUGACAUUCUGGGUCCUGAUGGAUUGCUCUCUAUGGAUCACAGCACCCCUGGCUUUGGGUGAGAUAAGCUUAAUCAGCCACGGACCUGGCUACAGCCCAGAUACUUCUCCACCUCUGUAUCUCUGUCUCCAAGCAUUCUAUAGCUCGUAUUUUCCAUGCCUAACUACAGUCCUUCCAGCCAUUUAGACACAGCAAAGCAGUACCUAGGCAAGGUUUUGGACCGCACUGAUAACCAUGGCAUUUCUCAUUAAUGUGCAUCCUGAUAUUUGAGGGUCAAGGCCGGUCUUUCGGGAUAAUUACGUUUUACUUACGUAAAAGACAUUUCUUUUCACGUGAGUGAGCAUGAACGAUGGCUCAAAUUAUGUGCUCAGUGAAUAUAUAUUAAGGUACCUUCUUAAACAAGAAAAAUGUUAAGCCAUACUCUGUAUCAGAGAUUUGACACAUUUAUUUUAAUUCAUGUCUACCUCUAACAAGGAACAGUAUUAUGACUUGGUAAUUCAAUACAGUUUAGGUGAAUGUCAAAUCCUCUGAAGGAAUAUUUAAAUCUAUAAUAUGAUUUAAACAGUACAGUAAUGUGGAUAUACUACUACAAUCCUCCCAUGUCAUAGUAGUUGAUUUAUGGUAUGAUUUGAACAUAAAUGUAAGGUUCUGAUAUACUGUAAAAAAAAAUAUAUAUAUCAGCAUUACCGUAUGUGCAGGCUAAGGUUCAGAUCUACUACUGUAUUCAGGCAGUUAUUAUGCUUCAGCUCCAUGGGGACCGGUGCAGUAUGGGAGACAAACAUAAUCUGUUUGAAAGAUCACUUGAUUUCUUUCUGCUAAUUUCUUUGUGCUAAACAGCUUUGCAUUGGUCUGUAAUACAGAUAUGUGCCUUUAGUUAUGCUCGAACCCUGUCCUUGUGUAACUGUUUGAUUUCUCCACCUGCCCGCACUUCCUAUGUCACUCCAAUGCUAAUUAUCUCUGUAUACUGCAUAGUAUAAACUGUUCACACUGCACUAUAAUACUAUUUAUGGGGAAUUAUGCAUUAUAGUUUACAAUUGGCUCAUUCAUCCCCCUCUCCCCUGUAACUAUUCCCCAGGUCGUUGCUGUAAAUGAGAAUGUGUUCUCAGUCAACUUACCUGGUAAAGUAACGGAAAAAUAAAUAAAUAGUUUGUCCUGUGUAAUCCUCUGUUUAAUCAUUAAUGUGAUCAGAAGAUUAAUUGAUAGUUUCAGUCAGUGGCAGUCGUGACGUUUAAGAUGAGGGAGCAUGUUCUUUUUUUUUAUGAGCAUGGUCUUAUUUCUAUUACAGCAUAUUGGAUGACUGUCAUUCAUAUUCCAUUCACCCAGCUCAAUGUAACAUUGAUAGGUUUAGGCUACUACAUGAUGUUCAAAUUUACUCUAUACCUAUCAUAAGGUUGUGACAAUCCAGCCUAUGAAUGAAAGUUUACAACGUAGGUGCACACAGGUUGAGAGACAAAUUAGAGUAAUUAAGGUGACAGACAGCGACACAUUCAAUACCGUCUUGCACACUUGCCUGCAACUAGCUGAUCUAGGGUGUAAUCAUUAGACCAACAGUUACAAACAAGAGUUUUUAUUGGACAAAUUCAGGUAUGUUUAUCCCUGUUUCGUUCCGUUUGCUUCCAUUUUAAGAAAUGUUCAACAUAAUCGGAGGAAUGAAUACACCCCUGAUCACACGCAAACACAGUUCACAAUCAUAGCAGCCACAUACAAACGGCAUGAUAAUUUUGCUCGUUUUAGAAUUCCUUCUCGCAUCUAUUCGCUCUCCGUCCUCUCACCUUUUCCCUUUGCUUGUGGACCUCAGUGCACAACACAUCAGGUGGUGAAAUCAAUGAGGCACUGAAAUUAAUGUUUUUCUUAUUGAAAAUCUAUUUCCUUACUAAUGGGUGUCUAGGUAGUGCAAGAUUUAGUUUUGGCUGGCACACAACCUCGUCACUGAUUUCUAUUAGUUUCCUUUAUUGAUGUUGAUUUGUAUCUGUCAUAGUCUGAGCCUAGAGGAAACAUGCACCUAAUUAUUAUCAGGAGGCGCAGCACUUGUACCCUUAUAGAACCUCAGACUGGGGGCGAAGAUUCACCUUCCAACAGGACAAUGACCCUAAGCACACAGCCAAGACAA